Molecule: ribosomal RNA, 298 nt
Filed under: uncultured Gardnerella sp.
Lineage: Bacteria; Bacillati; Actinomycetota; Actinomycetes; Bifidobacteriales; Bifidobacteriaceae
Description: partial 16S ribosomal RNA
Rfam family: Bacterial small subunit ribosomal RNA
Source: RNAcentral
AGUGGGGUCGCGUCCUAUCAGCUUGUAGGCGGGGUAAUGGCCCACCUAGGCUUCGACGGGUAGGCCGGCCUGAGAGGGCGGACGGCCACAUUGGGACUGAGAUACGGCCCAGACUCCUACGGGAGGCAGCAGGUGGGGAAUAUUGCGCAAUGGGGAAAACCCUGACGCAGCGACGCCGCGUGCGGGAUGAAGGCCUUCGGGUUGUAAACCGCUUUUGAUUGGGGAGCAAGCCUUUUGGGUGAGUGUACCUUUCGAAUAAGCGCCGGGCUAACUACGUGCCAGCAGCCGCGGGUAAAUA